CCUACGGGAGGCAGCAGUGGGGAAUCUUGCGCAAUGGGCGAAAGCCUGACGCAGCAACGCCGCGUGCGGGAAGAAGGCUUUCGGGCUGUAAACCGCUUUCAGCAGGAACGAAAAUGACGGUACCUGCAGAAGAAGGAGCGGCCAACUAUGUGCCAGCAGCCGCGGUGAUACAUAGGCUUCAAGCGUUGUCCGGAUUUAUUGGGCGUAAAGAGUUCGUAGGCGGUCGAGUAAGUCGGGUGUGAAAAUUCUGGGCUCAACCCAGAGACGCCACCCGAUACUGCUUGACUUGAGUUCGAUAGGGGAGUGGGGAAUUCCUAGUGUAGCGGUGAAAUGCGCAGAUAUUAGGAGGAACACCGGUGGCGAAGGCGCCACUCUGGAUCGAUACUGACGCUGAGGAACGAAAGCAUGGGUAGCAAACAGGAUUAGAUACCCUGGUAGUCCAUGCCGUAAACGGUGGGCACUAGGUGUGGGUUUCUAUUAACGAAAUCCGCGCCGUCGCUAACGCAUUAAGUGCCCCGCCUGGGGAGUACGGUCGCAAGCUAAAACUCAAAAUGAAUUGACGG
This 563-nucleotide ribosomal RNA is filed under the name uncultured bacterium. RNAcentral describes it as "bacterial SSU rRNA". It matches the Rfam family "Bacterial small subunit ribosomal RNA", at positions 338 to 916 of the family's 1533-position model. The record is from RNAcentral.